Talaromyces stipitatus ATCC 10500 is the source of this 82-nucleotide transfer RNA. It matches the Rfam family "tRNA". Rfam says of the family: Transfer RNA (tRNA) molecules are approximately 80 nucleotides in length. Their secondary structure includes four short double-helical elements and three loops (D, anti-codon, and T loops). Lineage: Eukaryota; Fungi; Ascomycota; Eurotiomycetes; Eurotiales; Trichocomaceae. The record is from Rfam.
GCCCGCUUGGCGCAAUGGUAGCGCAACAGGUUUCUAUCAUGGAAAACCCUGUAGGUUGCGGUUUCGAGUACCGUGGCGGGUU